GGCAUCUCCUCGUACUCUGUCCUGGUGUGGAAUCUUUGUUCUUCACUUCUUUGGGUGCAUGCUGCUUUUGUGAGCUGUAACACCGCGAAGGUCUGCAGCUUCACUCUUGAAGCCAGUGAGACCAGGAACCCACCAGAAGGAAGAAAGUCCAAACGCAUCCGAACUUCAGAAGGAACAGACUCUAGACACGCAGCCUUUAAGACCUGUGACACUCACGGCGAGGGUCCGCGGCUUUAUUCUUGAAGUUAGUGAGACCAAGAACCUACCAAUUCCGGACACACUGGAUUUACAGUAGUGCACAGGAAUACCAUGCAGGACUGGUAUGGCAGCUCUACAACAUCCUUGCAGAACCAAGCUCCUUUCUUCACCACUCUCCUACGUACAGAGCUUAUAGCCUCAGGAGCUUCAGCCAUCACUUCUGCGUUCCAGGCAGGAAAAAGGGAAGAGCAGAAGGUAAAAGUGGUGCUCCUCUGAGUUUUAAAGAACUCCCCUAGAAGUCCUGCUCAGUAGUUAGUGCUUCUGUCUCAUGGGCCACAUUUUACUGCAAGGGGUGGGGGAUGGAAAAUGAUGCAGUGUUUUUACUAGGUACUUUGUUAUCUCAUUAAAGUCCAGCGUUCUGGAACUAGGGAAGUAGGUGGAUAUAGGGCAAACAAUAGCAGUCUCUUCCCUUCUCACACAGUCCCUCUAUAAGGCUAGUGGGGAUUACUCCAUACUUCAUAAAGAUGAGAAAACUGAGAAGUGGUCGUGAGGACUUGUUUAGAGCCACAGAAUGUCAGUGGUGAUGUUGGUCCCAACACCCAGCUUUGAAAAAAUGAGAGAACACAAAGAAACCCAUGAACAUCUGUGGACAAACACCAGCUGUGAGCCCAGGGCCACCUCUCCUUGCGGAAUCAAAACUGGCAGAUGAGAGAGGCUGCAGAGGUCAGUGAGGACGAAGGUGGCAGGGCACUGGGGCAGAUGUUUCAGUGAUGGUGCUCCAUGCUCUGUGUCAUUCCUUAGGUUGGCAAAAGGUAGACAGCUUUGGCCUUGGCUCAGCUGGGAGAACAGAUGGGCAGGAAUUCAGCACAACUCCUAAAUCAGCCAAGCGGCAGACUGCCUCCUUUCCUUCUCUGGGUCAGCCAAGGCUACAGUUUCCACCUGGUCACAGCCAGCUGCAGAGGCCCAAGACUGAAGCCCAUGACAGCUCGGCGAGGAGCACCUAGAAAUGUGCCAUCCCACACCUGACUGUGAGGGGCCAUCAGGAGAACAAGCAAGGGCAGGUGUUUCUUCCAGCAGUGAGGGGACAUCUGUACUGAGCUGCCCAGCAGGAGAAAGAUUAGAUUUCUCUGUGCAAAGCAAACAGCUCCUUAUGGCAGUCACAUACCUGUCCUCACUCCUUUUGAGCAUAGGGCUAUACUGAGAAAACCAGUUUGUUUGAAAAAGGCCUGGAGCUCUGUUCUUUCUCAUCCCCUUUAUCUACCAUAGGAAUAAUGGCAACGUGACCAGAGGUGUAAGGGGAGCCUAGGACCUACUCUGAAAUACAUGUAAUGCAAGUGGAGGCGGCAACUCCCCACAUCUGAGGAGGGGAAGGUCCUCACAGAAGGGAAACAGGAACAAAGCAAAAGUAGACAGGAACAUGUGUUUAGCUUUAGACACAGGACAUAAAAUGCAGUUUUGCUGCAGUUCUGGUGAGAGCACGUGGCAUAGGAGGAAGACGGCUGAACGUCGCGGGGUUUGCUUGGGAGGAAAUGACCAAGCCCAGAGGGAAAGAAGCGUUCCCUCUUUCCCCUUCCAAUGCUUACAUCAAUUUUGGAUUAUCUGUGUAUUUACUCCCCAUUCAUUGACUCUAAUUAAAAGUUGACUGAAAUCUGUUUAGAAUUCUAUGUAGCCAGGCUUUCAGAAAAGCUUUUUAAAAUAAGUGUGGAGUAGAAAUUUGGUAAUGAAGAUCACUACCAUGCUCCUUUGAGAGAAAAGAUGGGAAAGGGACUGGAAGGAGAGGAUGGCUAGACGGAGGGAGGGCUAGCUGUGGUGGCCCCACGCUCCUCAGAAGCCGUGCCCUGAAAAGAGCCACUUCUGAGCAUUCCACUGACAUUACUUUUCCACGAAGCUUUGGGCACCUCAGGCCCCUGCAGUUGGACAAUGAGGCUCUUCAGACAACUAUAAAGAACUUCCAACUCUUGCUCCCUCACCCCAGGCCUUCUGUAAUCUUGAGACCCUAGAUCUGCUCACGUGGGCUUGGGAAGGCUGGUCAGAUGGCCAAUAGGGUCUGGCCCCACCUGCCUUUCCCUUUCCUCCUUCAGCAGCAUAGCUCCUUGCCCUCACGAGGGCACAAUCAGGGCUGAGAGCCUUCAUGAGCCCCCCUUGGUCCUCUGGGGUAUGAGGAGUCAGCAGGGACACAUUCCCCAUCUCCACUAGGACCAUCUGUGCUCAAUUAUAAGCCCUUUGGAAGCAAGCAGAGGGCUGUUUAGCUGCUGCUGGUUCUCUAUGAUUAGCUUGUUCUUGUUUUUUGAACACUGCACGUGGUGCAGCCAGCUGUGAGAAGCAUCCACGAUUCAAAGCUUUUUCUCUCUCAAAAAGAAAAGUGCUAAGCUGGUUGUUUUAACUAUGGGAAAAGAAAAAACAUUUAAAAGUGUUACUUUCUGGGUAAGUUCCUUUCCAUACCUUUUAAUUCCACUGUUUCCAGGAUUGGGACCAUCCUUUGUCUAUAUUUCAGACCCUAUAUAGGCACUUGCUUGCUGCAAAUGAGCCUUGUUAACAUCAAGGUAGUGUGUAAUUCCAGCUCACGCAUCCGUAUUUCAGUAGCCUCUCUUCUCGCUUAUUGUGUGUUGAGAGAGACCAGAUCUUCAAGGCAUCCUUUUAAUAAAACCAUUGCAGAGACUCCACUCUGCAAUGCACUAAGGAGCCAGGGCUAACUGCAGAGGCUUACCUUCUUUUCAGGUGCUGAGCCAGGAACAAAGCAACACUACUUUGUUCACACUUGAAAUCCUCAGUGUUCUCUGCAGGCAAGAAGCAGUUGGCUGGGUUUGGCUCUAUGCCAGCAUGAAAAUCACUAGGGGUGCUUAAUAAAAUGGUUAUUUCUGGGGCUACAUCAUGGAUUUGAAAUCCAGACUCACAUGUGAGUGGAGAGCCAGAGAAGCUGGAGAUUUGGGAGUCGUGUGAAUAGUAAUAAUGGAAACCACGAGAUGAACUACAAUUCACAGGCAAAAGAAUAUGGCAGUAGAAAAAGAUGUAGGUAAUUGGCCAGGCGUGGCGGCUCAGGCCUGUAACCCCAGCACUUUGGGAGGCUGAGGUGGGCAGAUCACUUGAGGUCAAGAGUUUGAGACCAGCCUGGCCAACAUGGCAAAACCCCAUCUCUACUAAAAAUAUAAAAAAUUAGCUGUGCAUGGUGGCAUGCGCCUGUAGUCCCAGCUACUUGGGAGGCGGAGGCACGAGAAUCGCUUGAACUCGGGAGGCACAGAUUGCAGUAAGCCAAGAUCAUGCCAGUGUACUCCAGCCUGGGCAACAGAGCGAGACUCCAUCUCAAAAAAAAAAAAAAAGAUCCAGGUAAUUACAGUCCCUUCGCCUCACAUUUCUGAAUGAGGUAAAUAAACUCAUUUCUUAUUCUCAUAAUAUACAGGAUCUAUGAUAAACAGCAGCACAAUUACGCCAGUAACCACAGGGCAUGCCUAUAGAUACAAAAAGUUCUUUGUAGCAUGGGUUCGGUCGGCUUUUAUCUAACUAAAUUUUCUGAAAUUUAGAAAACCAUCUAAAUAUGGAAUAAAUGGUUUUACUUACCAUGCUGAAGAAAAAGAAGUAAAAAUGUCUAAAUAUUUAGCAGAAAUAUUACUUCAAAACUGAUUUUACUUUUUGUUUUUGCUAAGUAAUUUUAAGCGUGCCCAAGGAUAAAAAAAAUCUGUACCAAUCAUGGGUUAUUACAUUGAGGAUAAUGGGAGCCACUGUCUGAGAAAGGAGUUAUCAAUAUGGAAAGAAAAUGAGAAGCAAUCCUGUGUUGUUGGACUAGAAUUGGAGGUACUGGUGUGAAUUCAUGGUUUUCAAUAUAUGGAUAUGAAAGUAAAUUUAGAUAUUAAUGUGAAGCAAAUUUAGACAACGUGUGUACAUAUGUGUGUGCAUACAUGUACACAAUUCCCAAGUUCUGACCACUGAGCCUGGGAUGAGUGGCACCACAAUAGUAAGCACUCCAAUCUAACCUUUUAUAAUAAUUUCCUACUAAAAGCAAGCAGGGCUGGAGUAGAGAAACCUGGAAUGUCUCAUUGUCAAAAAAUACAGCAGUGCCCAAGUAGAUGGGGGACAUGUCAAAAGUACACAGGGGCUAACCUGAAGGUGCUCCCAGCGGCCAUAUUUGAGACCAGUUACGCAUCUAAAGAAAUAAUGAUGUAACAAACCGUAACCCAUUGAAUAAAAGAAGAAACUACGAGUCCAUACUAGGAUGAGUUGAAUAUCUCUUAUCUGAAAUGCUUGGGACCAGACGUGUUUCGAAUUUUUUUGGAUUCUGAAAUAUUCACAUUAUCCUUAUUGGUGGGGCAUUCCUAAUCACAAACAAUACCCUUAAUUGUUUACAGGAAAUAUAUACUAAAGUAUUUAAAGGUGAUAGGCCCACUGGGUUGGCAACUCACUCUCAAAUGGUUCAGGUUCUGUACUUGGAAUUUUUCUGUUUGAGAAUGUUUCAAAAUAAAAAUGU
RNAcentral lists this long non-coding RNA (4657 nucleotides) under Homo sapiens (human). RNAcentral describes it as "HSALNT0297968". The record is from RNAcentral. Lineage: Eukaryota; Metazoa; Chordata; Mammalia; Primates; Hominidae.